Molecule: transfer RNA, 87 nt
Filed under: Acidobacteriota bacterium
Lineage: Bacteria; Pseudomonadati; Acidobacteriota
Description: tRNA-Tyr
Rfam family: tRNA
About the family: Transfer RNA (tRNA) molecules are approximately 80 nucleotides in length. Their secondary structure includes four short double-helical elements and three loops (D, anti-codon, and T loops).
Source: RNAcentral
GGAGAGAUGGCUGAGCGGUCAAAAGCAGCAGACUGUAAAUCUGCCGGGCCUCGCCCUACGAAGGUUCGAAUCCUUCUCUCUCCACCA